GAUGAACGCUGGCGGCGUGCCUAAUACAUGCAAGUCGAGCGAACGGACGAGAAGCUUGCUUCUCUGAUGUUAGCGGCGGACGGGUGAGUAACACGUGGAUAACCUACCUAUAAGACUGGGAUAACUUCGGGAAACCGGAGCUAAUACCGGAUAAUAUUUUGAACGGCAUGGUUCAAAAGUGAAAGCCGGUCUUGCUGUCACUUAUAGAUGGAUCCGCGCUGCAUUAGCUAGUUGGUAAGGUAACGGCUUACCAAGGCAACGAUGCAUAGCCGACCUGAGAGGGUGAUCGGCCACACUGGAACUGAGACACGGUCCAGACUCCUACGGGAGGCAGCAGUAGGGAAUCUUCCGCAAUGGGCGAAAGCCUGACGGAGCAACGCCGCGUGAGUGAUGAAGGUCUUCGGAUCGUAAAACUCUGUUAUUAGGGAAGAACAUAUGUGUAAGUAACUGUGCACAUCUUGACGGUACCUAAUCAGAAAGCCACGGCUAACUACGUG
Molecule: ribosomal RNA, 497 nt
Filed under: uncultured bacterium
Lineage: Bacteria
Description: partial 16S ribosomal RNA
Rfam family: Bacterial small subunit ribosomal RNA
Source: RNAcentral